RNAcentral lists this ribosomal RNA (468 nucleotides) under uncultured bacterium. RNAcentral's name for it is "partial 16S ribosomal RNA". It matches the Rfam family "Bacterial small subunit ribosomal RNA", at positions 28 to 507 of the family's 1533-position model. The record is from RNAcentral.
GACGAACGCUGGCGGCGUGCUUAACACAUGCAAGUCGAACGGCAAGGCCCUACGAUCUUGCUCUUCUCGAUUGGCGAAGGCGUGAGGAACAGGUGAGUAACGUGCCCUUGAUUUUGGGAUGACUUCAGGAAAGUGAGGCUACUACCGUAUAGCAUACCCUGCUCCAUUGUGGGGGUUGGAACGUUUCGGCUGUCGGGGAUGGACGGGCGGCUUAUGGGCUUGUUGGUUGGGGAGGGGCUGACCAAGGCUUUGAAGGAUAGCCGGCCUGUGAGGGUGACCGGCGACAUUGGGACUGCGAGACGGCGCAGACUCGUACGGUAGACAGCAGUCGGGAAUAUUGUACAGUGGGCGGAAGCCUGAUGCAGAAGCGCUGCGUUCGGGAUGACGGCCUUCGGGUUGUGAACAGCUGUAGCCUGUGACGAAGCGUGAGUGACGGUAAUGGGUAAAGAAGCACCGGCUAACUACGUG